RNAcentral lists this ribosomal RNA (956 nucleotides) under Acricotopus sp. morphotype incurvatus CH4. Its description in RNAcentral is "SSU rRNA". It matches the Rfam family "Eukaryotic small subunit ribosomal RNA", at positions 447 to 1326 of the family's 1831-position model. Lineage: Eukaryota; Metazoa; Arthropoda; Insecta; Diptera; Chironomidae. The record is from RNAcentral.
UCUCCCGGCACGGGAGGUAGAGUACACGAUGUAUACACAUUUUAGACCUAAUUAUUUAGUUCUGUAAUUGGAAUGAAUCGAGUAUAAAUCCUUCAAUGAGGAUCAAGUGGAGGGCAAGUCUGGUGCCAGCAGCCGCGGUAAUUCCAGCUCCACUAGCGUAUGUUAAAAUUGUUGCGGUUAAAACGUUCGAAGUUCAUUUUUGUUCAGCACGAGUGUGGCGCUAUCAAGUAAAUGGCUGCUAUCACUUUCGAUUGCUUGAACUACAUGACUGAACACUUAAUGAAUAGCACUGAUGCCUUUUAUUAGGCUAAGUGUCUAUUUAGUUCGGCUUAAUUUUACCUUGAACAAAUUAAGGUGCUCAAAGCAGGCUCUAAUGCCUUGAAUAUUUUUGCAUGGAAUAAUGGAAAAAGACCUCGGUCUUAUAGAUACAUAUGCCUUCGGGUAUAUGUAUCGAUUUCUAUUGGUUUGAUACAGAUCAAGAGGUAAUGAUUAAUAGAAGCAGUCGGGUGCAUUAGUAUUGCGGCGCGAGAGGUGAAAGUCUUAGACCGUCGCACGACUAACUAAAGCGAAAGCAUUUGCCAAGCAUGUUUUCAUUAAUCAAGAACGAAAGUUAGAGGAUCGAAGGCGAUCAGAUACCGCCCUAGUUCUAACUGUAAACGAUGACAGCUAGCAAUUGGAUGUCACUACUUUAUAUGGUGCAUUCAGUAGCUUUCAGGGAAACCAGAGCUAGUUUCUGGGGGAAGUAUGGUUGCAACGCUGAGACUUGACGGAAGUUGACGAUAGUUCGACACCAUGAUCUGUAAUUUGCGCCUGAAUUUGACUCAACACGCGAUAACUUAUCAGGGGCCGAACUUAAUAGGGUACAUCAGAUUAGACCCCCCUUUUCCCAAAAAUUAAGGGGGAGUGGGUGCAUGGCCCCUCCUUAGUUCGUGGGAAUGAUUUUGUCUGGUUAUUCU